Salvia miltiorrhiza (redroot sage) is the source of this 985-nucleotide long non-coding RNA. RefSeq lists it as uncharacterized. The transcript has 4 exons. The record is from RefSeq and is a predicted model, not a curated record. Lineage: Eukaryota; Viridiplantae; Streptophyta; Magnoliopsida; Lamiales; Lamiaceae.
AAUAUAAAUUUGUUAGUAUAGAUUAAUAAUUAUCACCCUCACGAUUUUUUCAAUUGAUUUUAACUUUUUUUUUCUUUUUUAAAGAGAAUGACGUUGAGUGAAUUAAGGAAUAUCAUAUAAUUAUCUAUGGAAGGACACUUUUUGAACUUUGGAGGUGCAAUGCGUAUGAUAUUCACUAUAAUUCCGUAUAUAUUUAUAUAUAUCAAAAUCUUUAUCUUAUGUACUAACUAAACUAAACUCUAAAUAUAAAUAAAAAUUAAUUAAAGUUCUAAUUCUUCUCCAACUCAAUCCAUUAUCUCCUCACAACUAACCUCAAACCCAUCCUUCCACACCAUCGCAUACAACCUUGCCGCCGCUCUGAGCCUGCGGUCCACCGUGCUUCACCGCUGCUCUUAGUCUUUUUCCGGUCGCCGCCUCCCCUCUUCGAAGGCCGUUUGAGGAUUUUGAAAUUUAUAUAGUACUAACUAUGAGCAUGGAAGUUACAUUGCGCAAAACAAGCUCAUCUUCAGUUAAUGAAGUAUAUAGACAAAGAAGAAAUCUACAAAAGCAAAAGAAACGUAAACGAAAUGCAAGUGAUUUGAAAUGUUAAUUGCUCACAAAUUCAAGCUAAUAACUCAACUGGUGAUAGUACCCACAAUAAUAAUAACGUCAGAACGGAUUGGCCGUCGUCUUCGACCUCAAAAUCACGGCAGGCAACAAGCAUUUACACAUCUUCUGUUGAUUUCUCUCAAAAUCGUAUUUUGUGGUGGAGCUGCCGAAAGAGCGAUUCAACCCCAUCAAUACCUGUGAAUUCUUCAGUUAAAGUUAACGCAUAAGAAAUUUACUUCAAUCCUUACAAGAUUUCAAGGAAUUCGUGAGAUUUGUUGAAUGAGGGUUGACUUGCGCGAGCCCUAAUUUUAAUUUAAGAAGAAGAAGCGACAAACGACGUCGUUUAUGUACAUUAGAUACUACGUCGUUUUAUUAAGUAUCCGGCGUGUCCACGUCA